GGCAGGCCACGCCCACUCGGGCCUCUGGGAACGCCCCCUUAGUUGCCCCUGCGGACCCCCCCCCCCAUAGAUACCUGUGCCCCCCAAAAUAGGUGUCGGUGCCUUCUUCCUCCCGCCUUGAGAGAUUUCAGCCUUCCUCAGUUUCCCCAAAGAGGGACUCCCCCCCCCCCUCCCUGGUGUUCAGGUAGCAGUAAACGGCUUGACUACUCAGAAGACUGUGCCUCCAUGUACUUAAAUAAUAUUUACGGGAAAUAAAAACCCUCUUUGGUUGUAUAUUAUUGUCAACAGGACUGUCAUAGAUCAGAGAGAAAGAAGCCUCUUACAAACGCCGGGCUCUACAAUAGGUGAAUCACGACCCUAGCAGGGUUUACUCAGAAUCAAGCC
Long non-coding RNA from Sphaerodactylus townsendi, 384 nucleotides. RefSeq lists it as uncharacterized. The transcript has 3 exons. NCBI's taxonomy places the organism in Eukaryota, Metazoa, Chordata, Lepidosauria, Squamata, Sphaerodactylidae. The record is from RefSeq and is a predicted model, not a curated record.